AGUGAACGCUGGCGGUAGGCCUAACACAUGCAAGUCGAGCGGCAGCACAGUAAGAGCUUGCUCUUACGGGUGGCGAGUGGCGGAAGGGUGACGAAUACAUCGGAAUCUACUUUUACGUGGGGGAUAACGUAGGGAAACUUCCGCUAAUACAGCAUACGACCUACGGGUGAAAGCAGGGGAUCUUCGGACCUUUCGCGAUUGAAAUAGCCGAUGUCGGAUUAGCUAGUUGGCGGGGUAAAGGCCCACCAAGGCCACGCUCCGAAGCUGGUCUGAGAGGAUGGACAGCCAGACUGGAUCUGAGACACGGUCGAGACUCCUACGGGAGGAAGCAGUGGGGAAUAUUGCGCAAGGGGGGCAAGCCUGAUCCAGGCAUACCGCGUGGGUGAUGAAGGCCUUAGGGUUGUAAAGUCCUUUUGUUGGGAAAGAAAAACAGCAGGUUCAUACCGCGCUGUUCUGACGGUACCCAAAGAAUAAGCCCCGGCUAACUCCGUG
Molecule: ribosomal RNA, 492 nt
Filed under: uncultured bacterium
Lineage: Bacteria
Description: partial 16S ribosomal RNA
Rfam family: Bacterial small subunit ribosomal RNA
Source: RNAcentral